This 198-nucleotide ribosomal RNA is filed under the name uncultured bacterium. Its description in RNAcentral is "partial 16S ribosomal RNA". It matches the Rfam family "Bacterial small subunit ribosomal RNA", at positions 328 to 539 of the family's 1533-position model. The record is from RNAcentral.
ACGCUCGACACCUACGGGAGACAGCAGUGGGGAAUAUUGCACAAUGGGGGAAACCCUGAUGCAGCGACGCCGCGUGAAGGAAGAAGUAUCUCGGUAUGUAAACUUCUAUCAGCAGGGAAGAAAGUGACGGUACCUGACUAAGAAGCCCCGGCUAACUACGUGCCAACAGCCGCGGUAAUCUGAGCGGGCUGGCAAGGC